This 1420-nucleotide ribosomal RNA is filed under the name uncultured prokaryote. RNAcentral describes it as "partial 16S ribosomal RNA". It matches the Rfam family "Bacterial small subunit ribosomal RNA". The record is from RNAcentral.
GAGUUUGAUCCUGGCUCAGGAUGAACGCUAGCGGCAGGCUUAACACAUGCAAGUCGAACGGUAACAUUGGUGCUUGCACUAGAUGACGAGUGGCGAACGGGGGCGUAACGCGUAUACAAACUACCUCUUAUUAAGGAAUAGCUCGGAGAAAUUUGAAUUAAUACCUUAUAAUAUCUUAAAGCCGCAUGGUUUAAAGAUUAAAGAAUUUCGAUAAGAGAUGGGUAUGCGUGAUAUUAGCUAGUUGGUAAGGUAACGGCUUACCAAGACAACGAUAGGUAGGGGCCCUGAGAGGGGGAUCCCCCACACUGGUACUGAGAUACGGACCAGACUCCUACGGGAGGCAGCAGUGAGGAAUAUUGGACAAUGGAGGUAACUCUGAUCCAGCCAUGCCGCGUGCAGGAAGACGGCCCUAUGGGUUGUAAACUGCUUUUAUAUAGGAAGAAACCAUCUCUCGUGAGAGAUAUUGACGGUACUAUAAGAAUAAGGACCGGCUAACUCCGUACCAGCAGCCGCGGUAAUACGGAGGGUCCGAGCGUUAUCCGGAAUCAUUGGGUUUAAAGGGUCCGUAGGUGGAUAAUUAAGUCAGAGGUGAAAUCUUGCAGCUCAACUGUAAAAUUGCCUUUGAUACUGGUUAUCUUGAGUUAUUAUGAAGUAGUUAGAAUAUGUAGUGUAGCGGUGAAAUGCAUAGAUAUUACAUAGAAUACCAAUUGCGAAGGCAGAUUACUAAUAAUAUACUGACACUGAUGGACGAAAGCGUGGGUGGAGCGAACAGGAUUAGAUACCUUGGUAGUCCACGCCGUAAACGAUGGAUACUAGCUGUUCGGAUUUAUCUGAGUGGCUAAGCGAAAGUGAUAAGUAUCCCACCUGGGGAGUACGUUCGCAAGAAUGAAACUCAAAGGAAUUGACGGGGGCCCGCACAAGCGGUGGAGCAUGUGGUUUAAUUCGAUGAUACGCGAGGAACCUUACCAGGGCUUAAAUGUAGUGGGACAGGAGUGGAAACACUUUUUUCUUCGGACUCAUUACAAGGUGCUGCAUGGUUGUCGUCAGCUCGUGCCGUGAGGUGUCAGGUUAAGUCCUAUAACGAGCGCAACCCCUGUUGUUAGUUGCCAGCGAUUAAAGUCGGGAACUCUAACAAGACUGCCGGUGCAAACCGUGAGGAAGGUGGGGAUGACGUCAAAUCAUCACGGCCCUUACGUCCUGGGCUACACACGUGCUACAAUGGCCGGUACAAUGAGCAGCCACCCCGCGAGGGGGAGCGAAUCUAUAAAACCGGUCACAGUUCGGAUCGGAGUCUGCAACUCGACUCCGUGAAGCUGGAAUCGCUAGUAAUCGGAUAUCAGCCAGACGCGGUGAAUACGUUCCCGGGCCUUGUACACACCGCCCGUCACACCAUGGGAGUUGGUUCUACCCGACGACGCUG